UACGUAGGGUGCGAGCGUUGUCCGGAAUUAUUGGGCGUAAAGGGCUCGUAGGCGGUCUGUCACGUCGGGAGUGAAAACUCAGGGCUUAACCCUGAGCCUGCUUCCGAUACGGGCAGACUAGAGGUAGGCAGGGGAGAACGGAAUUCCUGGUGUAGCGGUGAAAUGCGCAGAUAUCAGGAGGAACACCGGUGGCGAAGGCGGUUCUCUGGGCCGAUACUGACGCUGAGGAGCGAAAGCGUGGGGAGCGAACAGG
RNAcentral lists this ribosomal RNA (253 nucleotides) under uncultured bacterium. Its description in RNAcentral is "partial 16S ribosomal RNA". It matches the Rfam family "Bacterial small subunit ribosomal RNA", at positions 524 to 776 of the family's 1533-position model. The record is from RNAcentral.